AUCCUUUCGAGUACAUCUGAUAAAAUUUGAACGAUACAGAAAAGAUUUGCAAUGACCCAUGUGCAAGGAUGACAUGGAUAACUCGAGAAAUAGUCCAUUUUUUU
This is a non-coding RNA of Solanum tuberosum (potato), 104 nucleotides long. The record is from Rfam. Lineage: Eukaryota; Viridiplantae; Streptophyta; Magnoliopsida; Solanales; Solanaceae.